UACGUAGGGUGCAAGCGUUAAUCGGAAUUACUGGGCGUAAAGCGUGCGCAGGCGGUUAUUUAAGACAGGUGUGAAAUCCCCGGGCUUAACCUGGGAACUGCAUUUGAGACUGCAUAGCUAGAGUACGGCAGAGGGGGAUGGAAUUCCGCGUGUAGCAGUGAAAUGCGUAGAUAUGCGGAGGAACACCGAUGGCGAAGGCAAUCCCCUGGGCCUGUACUGACGCUCAUGCACGAAAGCGUGGGGAGCAAACAGG
RNAcentral lists this ribosomal RNA (253 nucleotides) under uncultured bacterium. RNAcentral describes it as "partial 16S ribosomal RNA". It matches the Rfam family "Bacterial small subunit ribosomal RNA", at positions 524 to 776 of the family's 1533-position model. The record is from RNAcentral.